ACUCCUACGGGAGGCAUCAGUGGGGAAUAUUGCGCAAUGGGCGAAAGCCUGACGCAGCCAUGCCGCGUGGAUGAUGAAGGUCUUAGGAUUGUAAAAUCCUUUCACCGGGGACGAUAAUGACGGUACCCGGAGAAGAAGCCCCGGCUAACUUCGUGCCAGCAGCCGCGGUAAUACGAAGGGGGCUAGCGUUGCUCGGAAUUACUGGGCGUAAAGGGCGCGUAGGCGGACAGUUAAGUUGGGGGUGAAAGCCCGGGGCUCAACCUCGGAAUUGCCUUCAAUACUGGCUGUCUUGAGUACGGGAGAGGUGAGUGGAACUCCGAGUGUAGAGGUGAAAUUCGUAGAUAUUCGGAAGAACACCAGUGGCGAAGGCGACUCACUGGCCCGUUACUGACGCUGAGGCGCGAAAGCGUGGGGAGCAAACAGGAUUAGAUACCCUGGUAGGCUCUGC
RNAcentral lists this ribosomal RNA (448 nucleotides) under uncultured bacterium. RNAcentral describes it as "bacterial SSU rRNA". It matches the Rfam family "Bacterial small subunit ribosomal RNA", at positions 335 to 800 of the family's 1533-position model. The record is from RNAcentral.